Molecule: ribosomal RNA, 233 nt
Filed under: uncultured bacterium
Lineage: Bacteria
Description: partial 16S ribosomal RNA
Rfam family: Bacterial small subunit ribosomal RNA
Source: RNAcentral
GAUCAUGGCUCAGGAUGAACGCUAGCUACAGGCUUAACACAUGCAAGUCGAGGGGCAGCUAUGGUCUUAGCUUGCUAAGGCCGAUGGCGACCGGCGCACGGGUGAGUAACGCGUAGUCCAACCUGCCUUACACUCUUGGACAGCCUUCUGAAAGGGAGAUUAAUACAAGAUGUUAUCAUGAGUAAGCAUUUUCGCAUGAUUAAAGGUUUACCGGUGUAAGGAUUGGGGAUGCG